Molecule: ribosomal RNA, 481 nt
Filed under: uncultured bacterium
Lineage: Bacteria
Description: partial 16S ribosomal RNA
Rfam family: Bacterial small subunit ribosomal RNA
Source: RNAcentral
GACGAACGCUGGCGGCGUGCUUAACACAUGCAAGUCGAACGAUGAACCCGGAGCUUGCUCCGGUGGAUUAGUGGCGAACGGGUGAGUAACACGUGAGUAACCUGCCCUUGACUCUGGGAUAACUGCGGGAAACUGUAGCUAAUACCGGAUACGACCCUCGGCGGCAUCGCCAGGGGGUGGAAAGAAUUUCGGUCAAGGAUGGACUCGCGGCCUAUCAGCUAGUUGGCGGGGUUACGGCCCACCAAGGCUAUGACGGGUAGCAGGCGUGAGAGCGCGACCUGCCUCACUGGGACUGAGACACUGCCCAGACUCCUACGGGAGGCUGCAGUCGAGAAUAUUCCUCAAUGGCCGAAAGGCUGAAGGAGCGACGCCGCGUGCAGGAAGAAGCCCCUCGGGGUGUAAACUGCUUUUAUGUGGGACGAAUUAUUGACGGUACCACAAGAAUAAGAGGUUGCUAACUCUGUGCCAGCAGCCGCUGUAA